AAGUAAGUGAUUAAGGGCGCACGGGGGAUGCCUAGGCUCUCAGAGGCGAGGAAGGACGUGAUAAGCUGCGAAAAGCCACGGGGAUCGGCCAAUACGAAAUGAUCCGUGGAUG
Molecule: non-coding RNA, 112 nt
Organism: Algoriphagus sp. A40
Lineage: Bacteria; Pseudomonadati; Bacteroidota; Cytophagia; Cytophagales; Cyclobacteriaceae
Source: Rfam